RNAcentral lists this ribosomal RNA (253 nucleotides) under uncultured bacterium. RNAcentral describes it as "partial 16S ribosomal RNA". It matches the Rfam family "Bacterial small subunit ribosomal RNA", at positions 524 to 776 of the family's 1533-position model. The record is from RNAcentral.
UACGUAGGGUGCGAGCGUUAAUCGGAAUUACUGGGCGUAAAGCGUGCGCAGGCGGUUUUGUAAGUCUGUCGUGAAAGCCCCGGGCUUAACCUGGGAAUUGCGAUGGAGACUGCAAGGCUUGAAUCUGGCAGAGGGGGGUAGAAUUCCACGUGUAGCAGUGAAAUGCGUAGAGAUGUGGAGGAACACCGAUGGCGAAGGCAGCCCCCUGGGCUAAGAUUGACGCUCAGGCACGAAAGCGUGGGGAGCAAACAGG